AAUUCGAGACGCGCCGCCGCCGACCCCCGCUCCACUUACCUUUCAUAUCCUUGUCUCGGAAAAAAACUUGCCUUUCAUAUCCGGCAAGGACAAGGCUCCGCCCGCCGCCACCGCCUCCGCCCCGGCUAUAAAGCUCCGCCCUUUGGCCGGCCCGCUCCUCCUCUCUCCGUCCGGGCCGCGCCUCUCGCCUCCUUCAUUCGUCCUCGCCCGUCCGGGCCGCGUGGUGGUCUCCGUGCCCGCUCGCGCCCUGCUCCCUGUCCUCUCCGCCUGCGGGGCCGAGCCGCUCCCCGAGGACGCGGGCGGGCGACCGGCGGCGGGGGCACCGGCGUCGUGCGCCAGCUGCGCGCGCUCGUCCUCGACUCGUGCCUCUCCUCCUCUCGCGUCCGGUGAGGUGACUCGUCCUCGGUUCUUGCCUCUCCUCGUCUCGCGUCUGGCGAGGCAAUUCGUCCUUGAUUCCUGCCUCUCAUAGUCUCGCUUCUGAUCCUAUGUUGCUCGUCCUCGCUCGAUUCGUCCGUUUAGAGUUGAAGAAUCGCGUCUGAUUUGUUUCAUUCAGUUUUGAUCGUCCUCGGUUCGUCUGUUUUCAAGAAGCGCGUCUGAUUUGAUUGGUUAUGCUCGUCCACGAUUCGACCGUUUAGGUAGAAACCGUGUCUGGUUUGAUUUGCUCGUCCUCGCCGCCGUCGUCAGUUCAGAGUCGCGUGUGAUUUGAUCCUUGCUCGUCCUCGCCGUUGCCUUGAUGCUCUCGCGUGUUCUUGGGGCCAUCUUGUUGGGGGUCUGCGACUCUGGGAGGAAGCGAGCGGUCGGUCGGUUUGGGUCACCGUCUUGUUUGCGAACUAACAAGUCCGUUUGAGAAACUUCUGUUCCUGCGUUUCGUGUUCGCGGUAGAGCUAUGGUUCCUGCGUUUCUUGUUUGAGAAACUUGUGCGUGCGCUUCUGUUAUCUGACGAUCCUGCGUUUCGUGUUGGCGUCGGGGCGACGGUUGCAGGAACGAUCGGUUCUAGUUUCGAAAUUGGAGCAGUGUCAAAUCGGUUCCUCAGUUCCAUCACUUGUUGUUUGUUGGUCUCAAACUCAUGCGCCCUUGUGAUACUCUGGUUGCCCUCUGUCGAUUCUUGUUCUACCGGCAGGCGUGUGUGCUCUCAUCCUAGAUGCAGAGAAUCCUGUUCUUGUAUGUUACGGUUGUUCUAAUGGUGUUCUUUUUAACCGGUUUCUUGUUAUCAUGCUUUGCUUAUGUUCCCAUAUGGCACAAUUGAUUCAUUGUUGUUUGUUGUUUGAUUGAUUGCCCUGAGAUGGAUUGCUGUUUGUUGUUUGACUGAUUGCCUUGAGAUGGAUUGUUGCUUGUUGCUUGAUUGAUUGAUUGCCUUGAGAUGGAUUGUUGAUUGUUGUUUGUUGCUGUUUGUUGCCUUGAGAUGGUAGAUGUUUAUAUGGCAUGAUUGAUUCCUGUUUGUUCAUGGUUAUUACAAUUGAUUGAUUGAUUGAUGGCUGUUUGUCGAUUGGUAUCUAACUUUGGUAUUGCCAGUUCCUGAUCAUAUGCAACAGACCUAGCACUAUUCUUUUUUCUGAACUUUUUUGUGAUUAUGUCUUAUGUGGAUAUCAUAUUCUUUUUUUGGUAUUACUGUUGUCUAGUCCUUGGAAUAAUGCUUUUCUAAGUAUUUAAGGUACACACAUGUUGAUCUGGACAUAUCACAUUUGCUCUUUAUUGUGUUGCUAAGGACACUGAUGGGUUGAAUUGGCAUAUACGCAGCCGUGGAUCGCUCGUCAACCUGCUGAGCUCUUUCUGGAUAUGACAGAGGUACAAUAUUUACAUCCAUGGCAGAAGGUUCUUAACCCUGAACUCAUCAAAGGUCCUUGGACUCAAGAGGAAGAUGACAAAAUUAUUGAUCUUGUAAGCAAGUAUGGACCAACAAAAUGGUCUCAUUGCAAGGGCCUGCAGAAGGACCCUCCCACCUCAGUGCAGGUGAUUUUUCCUCUGCCCCGUUUGAUUCCGUCUAGAUCUUGCCCCGAAUUGUAUUGCGUCUGGAUGAGCGCGCCGUUGGCGUGGUCUGGUUGUUAACUGUUGUUACGGGUCAUGGGGGUUAGGUUGUCGAUUAUUUAGCUGUGCUCUCGCAGUGCUUUUAGGUUUGCUGGAUUGAUUGGUGAGGAUACUGCUUAUGAACUGUACAUGGACUACUAUUAUGAUUGACUCAUGUCAAGUGUGUGAUGUAUCUUCUGAGCAGGUCAUUAAAAAAACCCUUGGAUUUUGUUUUGUUAGGUUAUAAAGUAUGCCAACCUUAUUACAGUUUACAGUCAGUACCACAUGGGCAGAACAUGCACCACCCUGUAGCACUAUAUGAUAUCUUAACUGCCAUAACCAAAAGAAAUUAAAACCGCCAAGGACUUCACAGUUUAUGGAUAGUUAGGCAUGGCUAGCACUAUAUAAGAAACAUAAACAGUACCAAUCUAAUCUGUUAGGCAUGGACUAGACUAUUUAAGAAACAUAAACAGUACCAACGAAAUCAAUAGGGAGAAUUUUUGAGAGUGAACUAUGUUUUAGGAGGUGAGGUGGCAAUGGUCACCUGUAUUCCUUAGUCUAUUAACGCAUACCGGAAUAAAUAUAAUUACUGAAGCAACUUUAUCUUUGGUAAUGUUGUUUAAAUCUGAUUUGAGAAACACGAACAGUACUAGCCUGAUCAAUAGAGAGAAUUGUCAAAAGUGGCCUCUGUUUUAGUAGGUUGCAAUGAUCACCUGCUUUCCUUGGUUUAUCAAUGCAUACUGGAAGAAAUAUAAUUACGGAAGCAACUUUAGCAUUGUAAAUGUUGCGUAAAUCUGAUUUGAGAAACAAGAACAGUACCAUCCUAACCAAUAGAGGGAAUCAUCAAGAGUAGCUUAUGUUUUAGUAGGUGAGGUUGUAAUGGUCACCUGUUUUCCUUGGUCUAUCAAUGCAUACAGGAAGAAAUAUAACUACUGAAGCAACUUUAGCAUUCAUAAUGUGUGUAAACCUGAUCUGUGUUUUUGUGGAGAGUAAGUGGCUUCAGUGGAUGUCUUGGGCUCCUGGGUGACUUGAUGUUUUUUAAUACAGCAGUUGGUUCCACUUACCUCUUGAAAUUAAGAUCAAUGAACUUUGAAUUAUUCUAAUCAUUGUAGUGGGCGUGUAUAUGAUGGAUAACCCUUGAUAAUAUAAUUUCAUGCCUAAUUCUGAACUUGCUCACACAUAACUAAAGCUGGCCGCUGUUUGAUCUCGUAGCAAAUAUGACUUGUUUCUUACUCAUACUUGACUAGCUUCAUACAAAUGCUUGUCUGACUGUUGUGUAAUACUGUAUCACUUUCCUUUU
Aegilops tauschii subsp. strangulata is the source of this 3304-nucleotide non-coding RNA. NCBI's taxonomy places the organism in Eukaryota, Viridiplantae, Streptophyta, Magnoliopsida, Poales, Poaceae. The record is from RefSeq and is a predicted model, not a curated record.